AAUCAUCUAAAGAUGUCCCUAAUAGUGCUGUGUCACGUACUCCGAAAGUCAAGUCUCAGGGUCCUCAAUUAGGCCAAACUCCAUGCCAGUUUGUUCAAGAAACUAUUGAGCCAUUUUGUACAGAUUUAGUUGCAUGGUCAGAGAAUUGUGAUACAAUGAUUUGUAAUCCAUGGCCAAGAGAGGGUUCUUUUAGUGAUUUUCAUUUGCAAAUUCUGAAAGGUUAUGUGUAUUGAAGGUUUAAAAAAUCAGGUGGAGAUUCAAAAUGGGAUAAAAAGUAUAUGCAUAAUGCAGCUACAGGAUGGUUAAAGUGUGCUCAGUUAUGGUUUGUUCCUGAUCAGACUACAAAGUAUGUUCAGGCUUCUGCAGCAUCACCUGCUUAUGUGCUUUUUGUUGUACCAAUAAAUAUCAGUUUGGAUGAAUAAAAAAAAAAAAAGAUUUUUCGGAAUAUUGAUACUGAUGAAAUUUUAAUGGCGAUUGGUAGAGGGAAAAGUCAUGUUGGAUAGAUGGUUGUGAAUCCUUCUGCAAUGGUGAGAUCCACUGCAGAAAAUGUUGAUGUUGGUAUGAAAAAAUGAGAAAGUGACUAGAAAGUCUGUGGAUGUUGGUGCAGGGAAUAAGCAAGUUGAUAGUGUUUUAGUGGUGGAUGAGGGUUAUAAGAGUCAUGGUGUACUAGUUCCCAGUCAUGUGUCUGCUUCUGCCUAUCCUUUUGUAGUUGCUGGUGAGACUGUUAUAAUUAAGCCUCCCUAUGGAUCACAUUUGGUGUCUCUUAGGACUCAGUGUCCUGAUCCGUUUAAGCUUCCAGAAGGCACUAUUAAUUAUUUAAAGAGAGUAACAAUGGAUCAACAGUUUGGAGGGGCAGAUUUUUGUUUUUUUAUUGUCUGUUGUUUUUAAAUAUGCUGAUAUUUCACCAACAGAAAUGGCUCUUAAUUUGGACACUAAACAUGAUAGACCUGGUACUGAUGUAGGUUGGUUCUGUGUAUUUUGGGCU
Molecule: non-coding RNA, 985 nt
Organism: Pelobates cultripes (western spadefoot toad)
Lineage: Eukaryota; Metazoa; Chordata; Amphibia; Anura; Pelobatidae
Source: the annotation of a GenBank genome assembly